CCCCCCCCCCCCCCCGAGUAAAAUACACAAAUGUAUAAUACCUUAAUUCAGGAGCACAGUCUGUCUUUACCGUAAAUAACUUCGAGAUUAUUAUGUAAGUUUACUUUGCUAAUCGAUGUUCCUGUAAUUCAGAUUUAAAUUUAUUUGUGAGACCCCCGUCACUAUUUAUAUUCACUCAAAGAAAGGGGUUCUCCGUUACUGGGAAAAUCCAAGGACGUAUUGUGUUAGUUAUACGUCCUUGGAAAAUCUUAUCUGAUUCAGGAUCAAUUUAUCGGUUACACUCCCCUAUCACCAGUGAUUCUUUGUGAACUGACAUUCUGAAAAAGGGCAAGAACAUUAAAGAUAAAGGGAAACUAUAAACAAAAGAAAUUAUCAACAAAAAUAGAUUUACAGACGUCAACAAAGCCUAAAUGGUCAGACAUCUUGGUUUUCAUGAUCAUCAUUCAACAGGUCCAUACUGAACAGCAAACUUAAAGUUGAUAUUUUUCUACAUAGUGUGACUUUUUUAUUAAUUUGAAAUGGAAUGUGUUUUUUUUCCUACAUAAGAAAGAGGAAAUUUCAACAUAAUGACUAUAAACAACAAGGAGUCAUAUCAUCAUGAUCAUAGAUGCUCAAGAACUUAAUCAUGUAAAUGCAACGACGUAAUUAUCAAUUGAAAGAAGGGAGGAAUGAAAAAAUAUAUUUAGUAUUUUGUUGUCCAAAUGAACUUGCUUUGUCCACUCAUUUAAAUCGCUCCAUCCAAUAAAGAUGUACGGAGGAAGAUUUUUGAAGAACAGAUUGCAAAAAUGUUAUGUCUAAGAAUUGUAGGAAUAUUCUAGUGGAUGAAAUAAUUUAUUUACUUUACUCUUAUAUAGUGGACUGAAUAAUUGUUCAUAGCAAGCUGAAACAAGAAAACUAAAACUUAACAGGA
Molecule: long non-coding RNA, 910 nt
Organism: Mytilus californianus (California mussel)
Lineage: Eukaryota; Metazoa; Mollusca; Bivalvia; Mytilida; Mytilidae
Exons: 3
Source: RefSeq, a predicted model, not a curated record